AUGCUCUUAAUAAUUUGUUUCCUGCGACACAGAACUCAUCACUCAUAUCUUUAGGCCAUUAAAGUGAAUCAGAUAUCUAUUAUUUAUAAGAAAAUAUGUGGAACAGCUUUAUAUAUUACAAAAGUAGACAAAUGUUAUGUGCCAAGAAAUCACUAGCAUCUGUGAUUUGAGAAGAAAGUACUUACAGCGAGGAGGAAUACACAAUUGGGAGAGGAGAAAUGGAGGAUCUAUUUAUUUUGUUGAUUAGUGAAGCCAUGU
RNAcentral lists this unclassified non-coding RNA (258 nucleotides) under Hevea brasiliensis (rubber tree). Lineage: Eukaryota; Viridiplantae; Streptophyta; Magnoliopsida; Malpighiales; Euphorbiaceae. The record is from RNAcentral.